RNAcentral lists this ribosomal RNA (551 nucleotides) under Escherichia coli. RNAcentral describes it as "bacterial SSU rRNA". It matches the Rfam family "Bacterial small subunit ribosomal RNA", at positions 84 to 631 of the family's 1533-position model. The record is from RNAcentral. Lineage: Bacteria; Pseudomonadati; Pseudomonadota; Gammaproteobacteria; Enterobacterales; Enterobacteriaceae.
UUCGCUGACGAGUGGCGGACGGGUGAGUAAUGUCUGGGAAACUGCCUGAUGGAGGGGGAUAACUACUGGAAACGGUAGCUAAUACCGCAUAACGUCGCAAGACCAAAGAGGGGGACCCUCGGGCCUCUUGCCAUCGGAUGUGCCCAGAUGGGAUUAGCUUGUUGGUGGGGUAACGGCUCACCAAGGCGACGAUCCCUAGCUGGUCUGAGAGGAUGACCAGCCACACUGGAACUGAGACACGGUCCAGACUCCUACGGGAGGCAGCAGUGGGGAAUAUUGCACAAUGGGCGCAAGCCUGAUGCAGCCAUGCCGCGUGUAUGAAGAAGGCCUUCGGGUUGUAAAGUACUUUCAGCGGGGAGGAAGGGAGUAAAGUUAAUACCUUUGCUCAUUGACGUUACCCGCAGAAGAAGCACCGGCUAACUCCGUGCCAGCAGCCGCGGUAAUACGGAGGGUGCAAGCGUUAAUCGGAAUUACUGGGCGUAAAGCGCACGCAGGCGGUUUGUUAAGUCAGAUGUGAAAUCCCCGGGCUCAACCUGGGAACUGCAUCUGAU